This 245-nucleotide ribosomal RNA is filed under the name uncultured bacterium. RNAcentral's name for it is "partial 16S ribosomal RNA". It matches the Rfam family "Bacterial small subunit ribosomal RNA", at positions 532 to 776 of the family's 1533-position model. The record is from RNAcentral.
GUGCGAGCGUUGUCCGGAAUCACUGGGCGUAAAGGGCGCGUAGGCGGCCUGAUAAGUCGGGGGUGAAAUCCUGCGGCUUAACCGCAGGGCUGCCUUCUAAACUGUCAGGCUGGAGCACAGUAGAGGCAGGUGGAAUUCCCGGUGUAGCGGUGGAAUGCGUAGAGAUCAGGAAGAACAUCAGUGGCGAAGGCGGCCUGCUGGGCUGUUGCUGACGCUGAGGCGCGACAGCGUGGGGAGCAAACAGG